RNAcentral lists this ribosomal RNA (468 nucleotides) under uncultured bacterium. RNAcentral's name for it is "partial 16S ribosomal RNA". It matches the Rfam family "Bacterial small subunit ribosomal RNA", at positions 28 to 507 of the family's 1533-position model. The record is from RNAcentral.
GACGAACGCUGGCGGCGUGCUUAACACAUGCGAGUCGAACGGAAAGGCCCUGCUUUUGUGGGGUGCUCGAGUGGCGAACGGGUGCGUAACACGUGAGUAACCUGCCCUUGACUUUGGGAUAACUUCAGGAAACUGGGGCUACUACCGGAUAGGAGCUCCUGCUGCAUGGUGGGGGUUGGAAAGUUUCGGCGGUUGGGGAUGGACUCGCGGCUUAUCAGCUUGUUGGUGGGGUAGUGGCUUACCAAGGCUUUGACGGGUAGCCGGCCUGAGAGGGUGACCGGCCACAUUGGGACUGAGAUACGGCCCAGACUCCUACGGGAGGCAGCAGUGGGGAAUAUUGCACAAUGGGCGGAAGCCUGAUGCAGCAACGCCGCGUGCGGGAUGACGGCCUUCGGGUUGUAAACCGCUUUCGCCUGUGACGAAGCGUGAGUGACGGUAAUGGGUAAAGAAGCACCGGCUAACUACGUG